AUAGUAUUGAAAAAUUUAUGUGUACUCAUAGGUUGUCUUUAUAAAUGUUCUAAAAUAUGAGCAGAUUAUAUAAAGUUACAUGAUUUUUGUUUAGCUGUAAAAGAAGAGAUUGAGAGAGUAUAAUCUGCCAAGACUUGGAAAACCGGAGAAUGAAGAUACAUACACAGAUCUGAAAAGAGUCAGCAAGACUGAAGAGCAUUCUAACAGGAAAGCAGUGGAGAAGGUGCUCAAAGGAAGACACAGG
Molecule: long non-coding RNA, 244 nt
Filed under: Rattus norvegicus (Norway rat)
Lineage: Eukaryota; Metazoa; Chordata; Mammalia; Rodentia; Muridae
Description: long non-coding RNA NONRATT032609
Source: RNAcentral